This is a non-coding RNA of Mycena crocata, 86 nucleotides long. NCBI's taxonomy places the organism in Eukaryota, Fungi, Basidiomycota, Agaricomycetes, Agaricales, Mycenaceae. The record is from the annotation of a GenBank genome assembly.
UCUUGACUAGUAUAUCGGUUAGUACACGCGCUUGUCAUUUUAAUGCUGUACCGCGCGAAAGCUGGGUUCGACUCCCAGGUCGAGAG